GAUAAAAUCCCUUUGUAUUCUUUUUCUCCAUCCCACUGUUCUUUCCGGUCACGUAUCUAUUUUGUGUCCGUUCAAGAGGCGUUCCCCAUACCGCUGUUGUUUCUGAUUGCAACAAACUGUCACAAUCCCUAAUUUCUUUCAGUCACCAUCUAUUUCACCAUUCAAUAAUUUACAAGAUCGAACAAUUCCUACAUGCCAUCAAGCUGCCUUGGGUUUUAGAAAAGAAGUCAACCCUAGCUUUACCUACCGUUUUCGCCGUUCAUUGGUGGAACUUCAGGUCAACCGAUGGUUGGGUCCCCUUCUACUCCAACCAUUACCGGUGCCGCUACUUAUUUGGCCCCUCCAUCGCCUCUCACUGAUUAUGCUCCCGCUCUCUUCUCCUAUCUCUUUCUCUCUCUGUCACAGUAACCACUUCAGAUAAGGGCGGUGGAGAUAAACCCCAUUUAUGAAAUUUCACAUUAACGGCUUCAGAUAAGGGCGGUGGCGAUUAUGUUAAUCCUAAUUUCUCUCCAAGUCGGUUUCAUUAGACUAGGCUGAACAAUUUCAAGAUUGUCCGCCAUGGGUGCACUAUUGAAAAAAUUAAACCGUGAAUUUCAUGAAGAGCCCCAUUGUCGACUUCUUCGGUCGUUUAACAACUUCUAACCUGAUCAAAAGUAAGAUCAGAUUCAGCGGUGGGUUGAGGUCGAUAGGAAAGGAGAAGGAACUGAGAAAGAGAAUGUUUUGAAAAUUUCAGUUCUUUUCUACAUAUUUUUCCUCUGCAUCUGUAUCGGUUGAUUAUUGACUCUUUUUUCCAUUUAUUGCAGACAAAGAAGAUACUAGGAUUGAUUAUUUAGCAUCGAAAAUUGGCUUCAGCUUCUCCCGAUAUUUCUUCUGGAACUCAUUUAUUUCUCGCGCUCAGAACUUUUCCUUCCAAAUCACAUUUAUUAACUUCUUUUGAAUCAGAGUUAUUGCCCACCACAUGUUUGAUGAAAUGCCUGAGAGGUAUUAAGAACCAGUGCAAACGACUUAUGAACCGAAUUGAUAAGAUGUUAUGUUAAGACAACUUGCUGAUUGCUCCAGAUGGCGCCAUUAAGUUUGAUCUUGAUGCAGAUGUUAAACAUACACCAGUGGGCAUGGUAGAAAAAGAUGAAAGCAGAUAUAUUAUACUACUGUCUUUCUUGAUGAAAAACGAUAAGAAUGAUCAUAAUUAUACAUGACUAUUUCCCCAGAGAUUCAAACGAAUGCCAAAAAGGAAAAUUAAGCAAGUGAUUGUAAAAGAAACUACUGAGCCUGAAGCAAAAGCAACAACAACAAAGCAAUCGUUUAAAGAGAAAAUCAAGAAAGGUAUGUAUGGAUAUGAGUUUGUUAGAUGUAUGUUGUUGUAAUGAUUUUUUUUUUUUUUUUUUGUGUUAUGUUUUUUGUUCUGUUUUCUUAUGAAACUGUGAAGCGGAACGAAAUGAGGGUCUACAGUCGUUUACAUGAACCACCGACAACACUACUAUAUUUAUUUAUAUUUGGGAAGUUUGUUGGGAAGUUCAUAAUUUAAGAAGAGGCCAAAAUGGUCAAAAUGGCAGAUUUGGUCUAAAAUACCAAAACUCUCAAAAUUGACCAGAAGGGUUAAAUGACUAAAAAUUUUGUUUUUGGAGCAUAUAAAUGUUAGUUUCUUAAAAGGCCUGUAUCUAGUUUGUGACAGUGAAACAGGGACAGGGGUAAAACGGGAAAACAAAUGAAAGCAGAGAACAAGUUACAUAAAGCUUUGUAGCUUUAUUAUUUUCUGAAUUGGGAAGGGAGGUGGUGACCUCAACGAAAUACAAUGCAUCUAAUUUAAAGACUGAAAGCUGCGAAUAAAAUGCAACUGACUCCACUAACCUUGUGACUCGGUACUCUAUCAUACUUAGCCUUUUACUUAUUCAAAAUAAGAAGGAAAAACAAACUAACUCCUAACUCUGAAUUAUAUCAACAUUUUCCCCCUUAAUUCAGAGUUCCAAUCUUCUUGAUACCUAUCAUUUUGCACAUCUCAUCAUGCUUCAUUCUUGCCAACGCCUUUGUGAGAACAUCAGCUUUUUGCAUCUUCCCAUCUACAUGAGCAACCACUAUUUCACCAUUUUCGAUACACUCUCUGAUAAAAUGGAACCUCACAUCUAUGUGCUUACUCCUGCCAUGAAAUACUGGGUUUUUCAUGAGCUCUAAUGCUGCCUUGUUAUCAACGAACAUUCUAACUGGUGGAGUGUUUUGACCAGUUAUUUCAGCUAACAAUCUUCUCAACCAUAUACCUUGACAUGCUGUCAUGGUAGCUGCCAUAAACUCUGCCUCACAGGAGGACAGAGCUACACACUUCUGCUUCUGUGAUGACCAAGAGACCAUGUUCCCAUUCACAUAGAAAAUCAUGCCUCCUGUACUUCUUCGAUCAUCCUUAUCUUUGGCAUGGUCACUAUCAGAAUAGCUAGUGAUAGUGAUGUUGGUCUCCCCCUGUGUAUAGAUUAAACCAUGGUCCAGUGUCCCUUUUAUGUAUCUUAAUAUGCCCUUUACUGCUUGGAGAUGUGCCAUGGUGGGUUUUUCCAUGUGACGACUGACAACUCCAACAGCAAAGGACAAGUCUGGUCUUGUGUGUGUCAAAUAUCUAAGAGCACCCACAAUACUCCUAUAUUCAGUGGGAUUUACCAAGUUCCCAUCUCCCUCUUUGGUCAAUGACAAUUUGUGCUCCGUGGGACAUUUUGUGGGAUUGCAAUCAAGCAUUCGAGUCCUUUCUAAAAGCUUCUUUGCAUAUGCUUCUUGUUUAAGAGUAAUGCAGUGAUUGUAUUGGCAUACCUCAAUUCCCAGGUAGUAAGUCAGUAAUCCCAGAUCGCUCAUCUCGAACUUCUCGUUCAUUUCAUCCUUAAAUUUCUUUACUUCUUCAGAUGAGCUCCCUGUCACUAUCAAGUCAUCCACAUACACACCUACAAUUAGUGUGUUUCCUCCUUUCUUCCUUGUAUAGACCGAGUAUUCUUGGGGACAUCUUUUGAACCCUAGUUCUUUCAGGUACUUGUCCAGACAGGAGUUCCAAGCUCUGGGAGCUUGUUUUAGGUCGUACAGGGCUUUGGAGAGUUUCUAUACCUUGUGAAUUUCGCCUUUCUUUUGGUAGCCAGUUGGUUGGGAGACGUAUACUUCUUCUUCGAGAUCGUCGUUUAGAAACGCCGACUUCACAUCCAGGUGAUGAACUUUCCACCCAUUUGAGCUUGCGAGAGCUAGAAUGAGCCGGAUUGUUUCAAUUUUGGCUACUGGUGCGAACACUUCUCCAUAAUCGAGUCCUUCCUUCUGCACAUAUCCCUUUGCCACGAGUCGGGCUUUAUGCUUCACUAUCUUGCCACUUGGAUCUCGUUUUACCUUGUAAACCCACUUUAGGCCGAUCGCUUUUCGAUUUCUUGGUAAAUCGACCAAACUCCAUGUGUUGUUCUUCUCUAUUGCACUUAAUUCCGCCUCCAUAGCUUCUCGUCGUUCUUGUUUCCGACUAGCUUCUUCAUAAGAAGUUGGCUCCUCAUCAAUUCUGGUCAAUAGCAGUUCUUCCAGUGGUACAUGGAUUUCAUCGGUGGCUUCAUAGAGGUCAGUGAGUAAACGAUAUCGUUUUGGUGCUCCUCCGCCGGUGGAGCUCGAUCCUGUGCUUGGAGUGUUCGGGGAAUUUUGGGGAGAUUGGGAAUUUGGAGAAUUGGGUGUAAUGGGUGAUAUUGGGGAAUUUAUCGGGGUAUUUGAAGGGGUUAUAUUCGGGUAACCUGAAUUGGUUGACUGGUCAAAUAUGUCCCAAUUUUCAUUUGACUGUGGUGACCCGUUUUCUUGAUCUGAUGUGUCUGGCACCCAUUCCUCUUCUUCGUCAUAGCCAUCUCCAUUAAAAUCAAAACCUUCAACAGUGAAGCUCAUCCUCGUCGUAGCUUUGAUCUGUGUACUCGUUUCCCAAUCCCACCCGCGUUUCUCUUCAAAUACUACAUCACGACUUACAUACAUCUUUCCCGUAUUUGGAUCCAAUAACCUAUAGGCUUUUGUUCCUUUCUCUACUCCAAGAUGAACCGGUUUUAUACUUCUGUCUUCCAGUUUCUUCAAUUGACCUUUAGCAACCUUCAUGUGAGCUACACACCCAAAUAUGCGCAAAUGAUCAACAUGUGGUUUUCUUUCGGUCCACUUUUCAUAUGGCGUAGCGUUCUUCAGAGCUUUCGUGUGUACUCUGUUUAGAAUAUAAACAGAGUGAGUCACAGCCUCUCUCCACAGUGCAUCUGGCACCUCCAUAGUCUUGAGAUUACACCUCACCAUUUCAAGUACUGUUCUAUUGCGUCUCUCUACUACUCCAUUUUGUUGUGGAGAGUAGGGAGACGUAUAGUGUCUCUGCAACCCUGUUUCAUUACAGUACCUGGUGAAAUCAUUUGACAGGAAUUCUCCUCCUCUGUCAGUUCGCAACACCUUUAAUUUUUCUCCUGUCUCGGUCUCAACCUUGACCCUGAAAUUCUUGAAGGUUUGAAAUGUUUCGUCCUUUGUUUUCAUCAAAAAUACCCACAUGACUCUGCUAAAGUCAUCGACAAUCAACAUGAAGUAUCGAUUCCCUGCUGGUGUAGGUGGUGAGACUGGUCCACACAAGUCACAAUGGAUGAGUUCAAGUCUUUUCUUUGCUCUGAAGUUUGUACAUGUUGGGAAUGGGUUCCGUGUUUGUUUCCCCAAUAAACAGCCUUCACAUGGUGAAGAAGGAACUGUAAUCUUUGGUACCCCAUUAAUCAAACCUGUGUCAACCAUUAGCUUCAUUGAGUUAAAGUUGAUGUGUCCCAUACGUUUAUGCCACAGCCAUACUGUUUCUUCAAUUUCAACUUUCAGACACACUGCGCCAAUUUCUUCCAACUCUAUCUUGUAGAGUCUAUUGUUUGACCUACGAACUUUCAUUAGUAAUUUUCCAAAUGAAUCAUUGACCCAUAAGAAUGGAUCUUUGAUUUUUAUUUCAUCUCCUCCUUCAGCCAAUUGUCCCAAACUAAUGAUGUUACUACACAGGUCUAGGAUGUAGUAUACUUCAUUAAGUUUUCGUUUUCCCCCAUCUUUACAUCUAAAGACGAUUGAACCUUUCCCUUCGAUAUGUACUCUAGAUUCAUUACCAAAUUUUACAAAACCUUGAAUUGACUUGUUCAAGUCUGUAAAUUUGGAUUCAUCCCCUGUCAUAUGAUUGCUGGCCCCUGUAUCAAGGUACCAAAUGCGGGAGAAAUUUUGUGAAUUACCAUGGGUUCGCAGUUUAGGGCUGACAGUUUCUUUGUUCAGGAACACCUUGCCUCCGUCUUCAUACGCUGCGAAUAAGAGUGCAAGUUCAUUAUCUUCAUGCUCCCGAAUUAAAUUGCUUUCGUGACUUCGCUCCUUUCUUGGAUUUUUACAUUCAGCGGCGUAAUGGCCAAAUUCUUGGCAAUUAUAACACUGAACCUCGCUUUUGUCUCGAUUAUUUGAUGAACCCUGACCUCCUUCUUUCUGAUGGUGUGAACUUCCCCUUCCACGACCACCACGACCACUUGCAUUCCUUCCUCUGCCUCUGCCUCUGCCUCUGCCUCUGCCACCACGAGAAUUACUAGAACCACCACAAUUUGAUCUUUGUUUCAAGUCUCCGUUUGCCCUUUUCUUGUAUUUCUCCGUCCAUUCUUUGUGGGUCAACAAGAGUUUCCGAUCGUCACUCUCGCUGCUACUUUUCAUACGUUCUUCAUAUGCCUUAAGCCUACCGAUUACUUCCUCGACGGACAUAGAUUCCAAAUCUCCAAAAUGCUCAAGUGUUGAGGCAACAUCGAUGAAUUUGGAUGAUACAGCUCUAAGCACUUUCUUCACUACCUGGGCUUCUUCAAUCUUAUCUCCCAGGGUGCGUAAAGUACUUACAGUGUUGAUCACUUUCCUAGUGAAAUCAUCAACACAUUCCGUCUCUUUCAUGCUUAAUGCUUCAAAUUCGGCCUUCAACGUCUGAAUUCUGGCCACCUUCACUCUAUCGGCUCCUACAAACAUAACUUUGAGAGCAUCCCAAGCUUCCUUGGCAGUCUUCUUCUCUGCCAAUGUCAUGAGCAGGUCCUCCGGUAUUCCCUGAUAAAUGGCAGCCAAUGCCAUGUUAUCCUUCUUUGUUUCAACGAGAGUGUUGGCUGUUCUGGGUUCUACAGCAUCCCAAACACCUUGAGCCAACAUGAAGACCCUCAUCUUAAUUGCCCAUGCACUGUAAUUGCUUCUAGUCAGCAUCGGAUAGUGUAGAGUGAUUUGCCCAUUUUUGUCACCAUUCCCAUUGCUGCCACUGCCUGUCAUUUCUUCUUUUCUAGGUUGAUAUUUGGGCAUGUACCAGGUUUGCUUUGAUACCAAAUGUUAGUUUCUUAAAAGGCCUGUAUCUAGUUUGUGACAGUGAAACAGGGACAGGGGUAAAACGGGAAAACAAAUGAAAACAGAGAACAAGUUACUUAAAGCUUUGUAGCUUUAUUAUUUUCUGAAUUGGGAAGGGAGGUGGUGACCUCAACGAAAUACAAUGCAUCUAAUUUAAAGACUGAAAGCUGCGAAUAAAAUGCAACUGACUCCACUAACCUUGUGACUCGGUACUCUAUCAUACUUAGCCUUUUACUUAUUCAAAAUAAGAAGAAAAAACACGUGCAGUUUAAGGAAAAACAAACUAACUCCUAACUCUGAAUUAUAUCAACAAUAAACACAUUGUUUACAUUUGGAAAGCUUUUUAAGGAGUUCAUAGAUUAAAAAGGAGGCCAAAUGGGUUAAAAUGACAGGCUUGCUCUACACAGUAAAUACAUAACAUAUCAUGAUGCACUUAUUGGGAUCCAGAUCUAAAGCAAUUGUGGAUGAACGACGUGACGGUACUCAUAUCCCUUUUCCCAUUCACAAUUUUCCUGAUAUAUUAUUUCCAACAAAAGUUGUGGCUGAAGAGGUUCAACAAGUUAGUGGAAGACAUUUACGUUUUUUUUUAUUCCCAAAUCAAUUUUUUCAUAGUACAAUGCUAUACUUUGGUAGAUAUUCUGAAUUUGAAAGUACAAUUUUGUAAUAUAAUUGAAUGGAAGUAAUACAAAAAUAAGUUGAAACGGAUUGUUA
Non-coding RNA from Lactuca sativa (garden lettuce), 7032 nucleotides. The record is from RefSeq and is a predicted model, not a curated record. NCBI's taxonomy places the organism in Eukaryota, Viridiplantae, Streptophyta, Magnoliopsida, Asterales, Asteraceae.